CCUACGGGUGGCAGCAGUGGGGAAUAUUGCGCAAUGGGCGAAAGCCUGAAGCAGCGACGCCGCGUGAGGGAUGAAGGUCUUCGGAUCGUAAACUUCUGUUAUCAGGGAAGAAUGGUGACUGUGCUAAGCAACAGUGAAUUGCCGGUACCUGAAAAGGAGGCACCGGCCAACGCCGUGCCAGCAGCUGCGGGAAUACGGAGGGUGUUAGCGUUAUUCGGAAUUUUUGGGCGGAAAGCGCGCGUAGGGGGGAUGUCAAGUCAAGGGUGAAAGCCCCGAGCUCAACGUGGGAACUGCCUUUGAAACUGGCAAACUUGAGUGUGUGAGAGGUAAGUGGAAUGCCGGGUGUAGGGGUGAAAUCCGUAGAUAUCGGGAGGAACACCAGUGGCGAAGGCGACUAGCUGGCACAUAACUGACGCUGAGGAGCGAAAGCGUGGGUAGCAAACAGGAUUAGAUACCCCUGUAGUC
This 465-nucleotide ribosomal RNA is filed under the name uncultured bacterium. RNAcentral describes it as "partial 16S ribosomal RNA". It matches the Rfam family "Bacterial small subunit ribosomal RNA", at positions 338 to 795 of the family's 1533-position model. The record is from RNAcentral.